Molecule: ribosomal RNA, 531 nt
Filed under: uncultured bacterium
Lineage: Bacteria
Description: bacterial SSU rRNA
Rfam family: Bacterial small subunit ribosomal RNA
Source: RNAcentral
AAAUAGAUACCCCGGUAGUCCACGCCCGUAAACGAUGGAUACUAGCUGUUGGGCGCGAAGUUCAGUGGCUAAGCGAAAGUGAUAAGUAUCCCACCUGGGGAGUACGAACGCAAGUUUGAAACUCAAAGGAAUUGACGGGGGCCCGCACAAGCGGUGGAGCAUGUGGUUUAAUUCGAUGAUACGCGAGGAACCUUACCAAGGCUUAAAUGCAGACUGACCGGUUUGGAAACAGACCUUUCGCAAGACAGUCUACAAGGUGCUGCAUGGUUGUCGUCAGCUCGUGCCGUGAGGUGUCAGGUUAAGUCCUAUAACGAGCGCAACCCCUGUUGCUAGUUGCCAGCGAGUCAUGUCGGGAACUCUAGCAAGACUGCCAGUGCAAACUGUGAGGAAGGUGGGGAUGACGUCAAAUCAUCACGGCCCUUACGCCUUGGGCUACACACGUGCUACAAUGGCCGGUACAGAGAGCAGCCACCCCGGCGAGGGGGAGCGAAUCUAUAAAGCCGGUCACAGUUCGGAUCGGAGUCUGCAACG